AUUUAUUGGGCGUAAAGAGCUCGUAGGCGGCUCGGUAAGUCGGGUGUGAAAUUUCAGGGGCUCAACCCUGAAAAGCCACCCGAUACUGCUGUGGCUAGAGUCCGGUAGGGGAGUGGGGAAUUCCUGGUGUAGCGGUGGAAUGCGCAGAUAUCAGGAGGAACACCGAUGGCGAAGGCAGAUCUCUGGGCCGUAACUGACGCUGAGGAGCGAAAGCAUGGGGAGCGAACAGGAUUAGAUACCCUGGUAGUCCAUGCCGUAAACGUUGGGAACUAGAUGUAGGGACCAUUCCACGGUUUCUGUGUCGCAGCUAACGCAUUAGGUUCCCCGCCUGGGGAGUACGGCCGCAAGGCUAAAACUCAAAGGAAUUGACGGGGGCCCGCACAAGCGGCGGAGCAUGCGGAUUAAUUCGAUGCAACGCGAAGAACCUUACCAAGGCUUGACAUAUACCGGAAAAGUUCAGAAAUGUUCUCCCCGCAAGGUCGGUAUACAGGUGGUGCAUGGUUGUCGUCAGCUCGUGUCGUGAGAUGUUGGGUUAAGUCCCGCAACGAGCGCAACCCUCGUUCUAUGUUGCCAGCACGUAAUGGUGGGAACUCAUAGGAGACUGCCGGGGUCAACUCGGAGGAAGGUGGGGAUGACGUCAAAUCAUCAUGCCCCUUAUGUCUUGGGCUUCACGCAUGCUACAAUGGCCGAUACAAAGGGCUGCAAUACCGUAAGGUGGAGCGAAUCCCAAAAAGUCGGUCUCAGUUCGGAUUGAGGUCUGCAACUCGACCUCAUGAAGUCGGAGUCGCUAGUAAUCGCAGAUCAG
This 805-nucleotide ribosomal RNA is filed under the name uncultured Actinomycetes bacterium. RNAcentral's name for it is "bacterial SSU rRNA". It matches the Rfam family "Bacterial small subunit ribosomal RNA", at positions 549 to 1352 of the family's 1533-position model. The record is from RNAcentral. Lineage: Bacteria; Bacillati; Actinomycetota; Actinomycetes.